Long non-coding RNA from Sycon ciliatum, 1004 nucleotides. RefSeq lists it as uncharacterized. NCBI's taxonomy places the organism in Eukaryota, Metazoa, Porifera, Calcarea, Leucosolenida, Sycettidae. The record is from RefSeq and is a predicted model, not a curated record. The transcript has 2 exons.
CUGAGAAGGGCUCGUCAAACAAACAAAAAACAAGCUUCUCUCAUUUUUGUUUGAAGUAGUGUUUGGAGACGGAGAAGAGAAUGCAAUGAGUUCAUAAUGCCUGGAUCCAUUCCUUUCAAACUUACAAAGGUUUCUCCACUUUUUCGAUAUUCAAGGAUACCACCGCCUAGGAACACAUAUUGGAGACCCAAGAACCCGAAAUGGAAGGAGGAUCGUCCCGUGCCACUAGAAACAGCCGUUGCUCAGAAAUUAGAAAAUAAUGACAUUCCUCAGGCCAGGACUGUCCCUCGUUAUUACAUCAAUCGCAACCCCUGCAAUUUAACCGUCAGCGGAGAUCAACCUAAGCGGAAGGGAUUUCAGCAUGACAGUGUGUUGAAGAUAGCACCUGAUGUGGACUACUAUUAUCGGUUGCACCUGAUUGAGACAAAUACAGGAUUGACCGCAUGGGUGCAACACACUUACGGCAAAAUAGUUGUACGGGCCUCUACAACGGAUGAUUGCAUUAACCACUUCCUCUACAGCAACACCUCAGUGAACGCUGCACGUCAACUGGGUCGCAUCAUGGCCCAGCGAAUGAAGAUGAGCGGCAUCUGGAAUAUAACAUGGACACGCAAGGGUGUCUUCAGAAGGGCCAAUCAGAAAGCAGAUGCCUUUGAAGCUGCCAUUAUGGGUGCUGGAAUAGCACUCCACGAACGUCGCAACAAAGUGAAGGAUACACACGAACCGUUCAGAGUAAUUUACUACACCACCACUCAGCAGAAUCCAAGAUCGGGCCGGCCCGGCUUGAGGAGAAGAGAGUUGCCUGAGACUGAGCCUAAGGCUGUGGCUGAUACUGCUGUGUGAGCAACUAAUUUCAUUUUGGAAAGCGAACUGGACUUCAUAUGAGAAUAAGAAUCAUAUAAAAUACCCACGUAAUACUUAUAGUGAUGUACGUGCUUGCAAUAUCAUCAUCAUGAUGCGCAUACUUGCAAUUCAACAAUUAUUAGGAUUUCCCAUGCCUACGA